UGGUGGCAGGCAGCCGCCCCUGCCUUGGGUGUCCACCUCCAUCAGCCUCCACGGAGCCUCCGCGAGCUCCAGCAGGUCCUGUCCCAACUCCUGAGCAAGGCAGAUCCGGCUGCCUCGGACUGGCUCCUCUCUCUUCACUGACCUGUGGCCGUUUCCCGACAGGCCCUGUGCCCAUUUCCCGACAGGCCCUGUGCCCAUCUUGCCUCACCUGGAUCCUGCUCCCACUUCCUCCUGAGCCCUCCAGGACGCCUGCUGCUCGCUGUCCCAUUCGCUGGCUCCCAGGAUGUUCUGUGAGCUCUCUUAGAGUCCCCAUGACAGCCACCACCAAUGCCUAGCUAUUUCCCGCCCAGCUUGUGAACCCCGGGCAGCACCAGCCACUGACUUUUGGUUUCCUGUAGCCUCAGACUGGCACAGAGUAGCAUCUUCAUAACUGCAAGCUGCAGGACUGCCCGAUGCGUGGAUGCAGGUGCCUGGGGGGAGGCGGGCGUCCGAAGCUGGACGGUCAGCCAGCGCUGGCAGGUGGGAGGCCCUCAGUGAAUGGCGGCCAUCAGCUUCACCGCACAUUUGUGAAACGACAGGAUGCUGACCAGGUGUCCAGAGAGGAUAUGCAAAGUCACUGUUCCGACCGCAAAGAAAGGCCGAUGGGGGAAGGAAAGGUCAGAGUACAGCGGCUUUGGCUGGGGAAGUCUCCCUGAGAGGGGCCUUGUACAUAGACCUUUUUGUAGGCCAGGCCAUUAUGGGACUGAGCAGAUCCCCUCGAGGAAAAGCAGUUUUAUUGGGCUAGCUAUUCCCAGCACAGAGGACUCUGGGGAGAUGUGAAGACCACGGCGGGUCAAUGUGAACUCUGCCGAGAGGGGGCUUCCUGAAGCCUCAUUCAGGCCAUUGAACAACCACCUCUUUCAGGAGCCUCAGCCCCAAGCCCUUCCCUGGAACAGCCCAGAAACUGCAUCUCCGGGGUGGACCCCUCAAAGCACCACGGAGGAGGCAAGUCCUUUGGCUUCUAAGGCUGGCCCAGGAAGUCUGGACUGGGCCCACCCAAGGCUCCCGUCACCAGCCUCUGGCGACAGCCCUGCCCAGGAGUUCUCAAUAUGGCCUUUUGAGGAGUCCACCAAGAAAAGAGGCUUGUGGCUUCUGGUUUACUGGUAUUGAUGAAAAGAAUGCUAAUGAAAUCCCAAAUAAAAGCAGUAA
Mirounga angustirostris (Northern elephant seal) is the source of this 1188-nucleotide long non-coding RNA. RefSeq lists it as uncharacterized. The transcript has 3 exons. The record is from RefSeq and is a predicted model, not a curated record. NCBI's taxonomy places the organism in Eukaryota, Metazoa, Chordata, Mammalia, Carnivora, Phocidae.